GUGAACGCUGGCGGUAGGCCUAACACAUGCCAGUCGAACGGCAGCACCGUAAGAGCUUGCUCUUACGGGUGGCGAGUGGCGGACGGGUGAGGAAUACAUCGGAAUCUACUUUUUCGUGGGGGAUAACGUAGGGAAACUUACGCUAAUACCGCAUACGACCUACGGGUGAAAGCAGGGGAUCUUCGGACCUUGCGCGAUUGAAUGAGCCGAUGUCGGAUUAGCUAGUUGGCGGGGUAAAGGCCCACCAAGGCGACGAUCCGUAGCUGGUCUGAGAGGAUGAUCAGCCACACUGGAACUGAGACACGGUCCAGACUCCUACGGGAGGCAGCAGUGGGGAAUAUUGGACAAUGGGCGCAAGCCUGAUCCAGCCAUACCGCAUGGGUGAAGAAGGCCUUCGGGUUGUAAAGCCCUUUUGUUGGGAAAGAAAAGCAGCAGGUUAAUACCCCGCUGUUCUGACGGUACCCAAAGAAUAAGCACCGGCUAACUUCGU
This 490-nucleotide ribosomal RNA is filed under the name uncultured bacterium. Its description in RNAcentral is "partial 16S ribosomal RNA". It matches the Rfam family "Bacterial small subunit ribosomal RNA", at positions 29 to 506 of the family's 1533-position model. The record is from RNAcentral.